CUCGCUCGGGGCGCCCCCCUGCUGCUAGCGGGGAACACGCGUCCCCGGGGCGUCCCUGCGUUCCCCAACCCUCGCCUCACCAGAGCCUUCUCCAACGCCCCGGGCCGUGGACCGUGGCAGGGGAAGCGCGAAGGAUCAGGCUCUCCCUACAGAUUUCCCUCCACAGUGCCACAAGUGGCUUGUUGAAGACUGCCACCAAUGCAGCCUGCAAGCCAAAUCAUAACAAUAAGGGCUUCCACCGGGCAGCUUCCAUCAGACUCAGGCUCCUAUUACGAGUAAUUCCUGCAGUUUGGAUGUGGUAAUCGUGUUCCUGCCAUUGCUAAUCUCUCAGUUACCUCAUAUCCGCAGUUUGGCUCUCAGCACUUCCAU
Long non-coding RNA from Physeter macrocephalus (sperm whale), 369 nucleotides. RefSeq lists it as uncharacterized. The transcript is spliced from 3 exons. NCBI's taxonomy places the organism in Eukaryota, Metazoa, Chordata, Mammalia, Artiodactyla, Physeteridae. The record is from RefSeq and is a predicted model, not a curated record.